AGAUUCUGGAAAACCUCACGACAGCAUCACUGUCAUUGUCAUUGUGCUUGUUACCAUUACAGUUCUCUGUAUUAUUGCAGUCUCUGCAGUUCGUUAUUGUCGAAAGAGAAGAACAUAUAAAAUAAAGAACACCAAAAAUAUAGAGAUGGAAGCUGUGGCCCAGCCUCCAAAUCCAACUAAUGAUGCUUCAGAUCCUUCUUCACUGCCCUCCUUGGUGGGAACUCACACUGGACCCACUGAGACUAUAGGCAACUCUUUACCAGAGAGCUAGUAUGCUCAGAUAGAAAAGACUGCCAGGUCCUGAAACAGUUUUCACCACCUUCACACCUUGUACAGUAUGUAAUAUAGUUUACAUACAGAGAGUUGAAAAAUAAUUUAAAUAAUUUUCUGUUAGGGUUAUGCAGAAUUACUUGAAUACUUUAUUGUUUCUAAAAACAGACUUCAACUGAAAAUCAUUUUAAAUGAUUUAAAAUCAAAUUUAAACCAUUUAAAAUCAAAUGCUAUAUCCUUGUAGAGUUGAAAAACAUUUCAAUAAUUAUUCCAUUAAGUUCAGUUCAUAAUUGUUAUUCUUUUGUUGUUGUGUAUUCAGUGUAUGAUGACUCUAACGAGCUCUGAUCGAUUUCUUGCUGAGAAACUCAUAAUAUAAGAUUUAGAUUGGAUUAAACUUUAUUGUCAUUGUCACUGCGUACAAGUACUGAGACAAUGAAAUGCAGUUUAGCAGUAUAAAGUAAGUAAAAAGAGAUCAGUCUCACAAGAUCUUUUGGCUUCAUUAAUUCAUAAAAGAUAAUUAUACAGCUUUAACUCAUGUCCAAUAAUGGUGUAUGUACCAGAAGGUGCUUUGCUUAGUUAAA
This is a long non-coding RNA of Morone saxatilis (striped sea-bass), 851 nucleotides long. RefSeq lists it as uncharacterized. Lineage: Eukaryota; Metazoa; Chordata; Actinopteri; Moronidae. The record is from RefSeq and is a predicted model, not a curated record. The transcript has 3 exons.